This 128-nucleotide small RNA is filed under the name Photobacterium sp. CCB-ST2H9. Its description in RNAcentral is "RtT sRNA". It matches the Rfam family "RtT RNA". Rfam says of the family: This family represents a bacterial cis-regulatory element known as RtT RNA. The exact function of RtT is unknown although it is thought that it may be involved in changing the cellular response in relation to amino acid starvation. Lineage: Bacteria; Pseudomonadati; Pseudomonadota; Gammaproteobacteria; Vibrionales; Vibrionaceae. The record is from RNAcentral.
CUUUGGCACGCAGAGAUAGGGUGAAGAAGCCUGGUUGGGUUCAGCCGAGCGCAGCGAGACCACGUUGCCUUCAGGCAACGCCCGAAGGGGCGCGAGCUUGCGAGCGAUAAAUCCCUAUCUCUCCGCCA